RNAcentral lists this transfer RNA (73 nucleotides) under Stegodyphus dumicola. RNAcentral describes it as "tRNA-Thr". It matches the Rfam family "tRNA". Rfam says of the family: Transfer RNA (tRNA) molecules are approximately 80 nucleotides in length. The record is from RNAcentral. Lineage: Eukaryota; Metazoa; Arthropoda; Arachnida; Araneae; Eresidae.
GCCUUCGUGGUGUAGUGGUCAGCACGCUCGACCAGUAUUCCAGAGGUCCAUGAUUCGAGUCCUGGCGAGGGCA